Molecule: ribosomal RNA, 663 nt
Filed under: uncultured cyanobacterium
Lineage: Bacteria; Bacillati; Cyanobacteriota
Description: bacterial SSU rRNA
Rfam family: Bacterial small subunit ribosomal RNA
Source: RNAcentral
CGGACGGGUGAGUAACGCGUGAGGAAAAGGACUUAGGAGGGGGACAACGACUGGAAACGGUCGCUAAUACCCCAUAUGUCUACGGAUGAAAGAUUUUAUCGCCUGAGGAUGAACUCGCGUCUGAUUAGCUAGUUGGUGAGGUAAGGGCUCACCAAGGCGACGAUCAGUAGCUGGUCUGAGAGGAUGAUCAGCCACACUGGGACUGAGACACGGCCCAGACUCCUACGGGAGGCAGCAGUGGGGAAUUUUCCGCAAUGGGGGCAACCCUGACGGAGCAAUACCGCGUGCGGGAGGACGACCUGUGGGUUGUAAACCGCUUUUCUCAGGGAAGAAGGACUGACGGUACCUGAGGAAUCAGCAUCGGCUAACUCCGUGCCAGCAGCCGCGGUAAUACGGAGGAUGCAAGCGUUAUCCGGAAUUAUUGGGCGUAAAGCGUCCGUAGGUGGUUAAACAAGUCUGCUGUUAAAGAGCGGAGCUUAACUCCGUUUUGGCGGUGGAAACUGUUUGACUAGAGAGUGGUAGGGGUAGAGGGAAUUCCCAGUGUAGCGGUGAAAUGCGUAGAUAUUGGGAAGAACACCGGUGGCGAAAGCGCUCUACUGGGCCACAUCUGACACUGAUGGACGAAAGCUAGGGGAGCGAAAGGGAUUAGAUACCCCUGUAGUC